GAUGAACGCUGGCGGCGUGCCUAAUACAUGCAAGUCGAGCGAACAGACGAGGAGCUUGCUCCUUUGACGUUAGCGGCGGACGGGUGAGUAACACGUGGGUAACCUACCUAUAAGACUGGGAUAACUUCGGGAAACCGGAGCUAAUACCGGAUAAUAUUUCGAACCGCAUGGUUCGAUAGUGAAAGAUGGCUUUGCUAUCACUUAUAGAUGGACCUGCGCCGUAUUAGCUAGUUGGUAAGGUAACGGCUUACCAAGGCAACGAUACGUAGCCGACCUGAGAGGGUGAUCGGCCACACUGGAACUGAGACACGGUCCAGACUCCUACGGGAGGCAGCAGUAGAGAAUCUUCCGCAAUGGGCGAAAGCCUGACGGAGCAACGCCGCGUGAGUGAUGAAGGUCUUCGGAUCGUAAAACUCUGUUAUUAGGGAAGAACAAACGUGUAAGUAACUGUGCACGUCUUGACGGUACCUAAUCAGAAAGCCACGGCUAACUACGUG
RNAcentral lists this ribosomal RNA (497 nucleotides) under uncultured bacterium. RNAcentral's name for it is "partial 16S ribosomal RNA". It matches the Rfam family "Bacterial small subunit ribosomal RNA", at positions 28 to 507 of the family's 1533-position model. The record is from RNAcentral.